GAGGGGUAGAGUUAGCUUGCUAACUUGAGACCGGCGCACGGGUGCGUAACGCGUAUGCAAUCUACCUUGUACAGAGGGAUAGCCCAGAGAAAUUUGGAUUAAUACCUCAUAGUAUCUUUACCUGGCAUCGGGUAAUUAUUAAAGUUCCAACGGUACAAGAUGAGCAUGCGUCCCAUUAGUUAGUUGGUAAGGUAACGGCUUACCAAGACAAUGAUGGGUAGGGGUCCUGAGAGGGAGAUCCCCCACACUGGUACUGAGACACGGACCAGACUCCUACGGGAGGCAGCAGUGAGGAAUAUUGGUCAAUGGACGCAAGUCUGAACCAGCCAUGCCGCGUGCAGGAAGACGGUCCUAUGGAUUGUAAACUGCUUUUAUACAGGAAGAAACAACUCUACGUGUAGAGUCUUGACGGUACUGUAGGAAUAAGGAUCGGCUAACUCCGUGCCAGCAGCCGCGGUAAUACGGAGGAUCCAAGCGUUAUCCGGAAUCAUUGGGUUUAAAGGGUCCGUAGGCGGCCUUAUAAGUCAGUGGUGAAAUCUCCUAGCUCAACUAGGAAACUGCCAUUGAUACUGUAGGGCUUGAAUUCUUAUGAAGUAACUAGAAUAUGUA
This 609-nucleotide ribosomal RNA is filed under the name Flavobacterium dongtanense. RNAcentral's name for it is "bacterial SSU rRNA". It matches the Rfam family "Bacterial small subunit ribosomal RNA", at positions 64 to 672 of the family's 1533-position model. The record is from RNAcentral. Lineage: Bacteria; Pseudomonadati; Bacteroidota; Flavobacteriia; Flavobacteriales; Flavobacteriaceae.